Molecule: transfer RNA, 74 nt
Organism: Chaetomium globosum CBS 148.51
Lineage: Eukaryota; Fungi; Ascomycota; Sordariomycetes; Sordariales; Chaetomiaceae
Rfam family: tRNA
About the family: Transfer RNA (tRNA) molecules are approximately 80 nucleotides in length. Their secondary structure includes four short double-helical elements and three loops (D, anti-codon, and T loops).
Source: Rfam
GCCGACGUGGCGCAAUUGGUUAGCGCGUCAGACUUUUAAUCUGAAUGUUGCGAGUUCGAGUCUCGCCGUUGGCG